RNAcentral lists this long non-coding RNA (203 nucleotides) under Gallus gallus (chicken). Lineage: Eukaryota; Metazoa; Chordata; Aves; Galliformes; Phasianidae. The record is from RNAcentral.
CAUCGGUGCACAGUGGACUGGAGAACACCAGUAGUUACCCGAGCAGGAAUCCUGUGCUGCCUUCCAACGAAAGGAGACGAGCAGCUACUUGCCAUGGUGUUCGAAAGGAAUGCUAUUCUGUGAAGUGGACAUGCGAGAGGUGUCUUGUCGGCCUGUUAAGUCAGACGAUGAGACAUUGACUGGAGCACCACGGUGCAACCUCA